Molecule: long non-coding RNA, 443 nt
Organism: Mesocricetus auratus (golden hamster)
Lineage: Eukaryota; Metazoa; Chordata; Mammalia; Rodentia; Cricetidae
Exons: 4
Source: RefSeq, a predicted model, not a curated record
GUGAAGAGACUGGUUGCCAUGUGAUCUCCCAGGAGGAAUGGACACGGCAGAAGUACAUCCUCGUAAAGGUCUGCAGGCAUCUAGUCCUACUUAGUUCUUUGAACUUGGCUGGUGAAGAUACUACAAGCAAUGAGUGACAAGGCCAGUAUCUAGACAUUUGUGGAUACUGGGGAGCAAUGCCCAGACGAAGGGGAGGAAACCAAGAAGAGUGCUGGGGAAAUAACCAGGACAUCAGCAACAAUGUUUCAUUAAGCAAAUUAAUUGACGAUCUGGAAGUAGUUAAAAGAGAAAGAGGAGACAUGGACAGUAUAGAAGAGACACCUUGUGACAAUCUCUGCUUACAAAAGCUUGAAGGACUCUUCAGAGAAAGUUUCAAUCCCCGCUAGACUUCAGCUGCCACCGACUGUGCAGGGACAAAAGGAGAGCAAUCCAGGCACUUGGUG